UCUGGUUAAGUGGAUUGGCGGGAGUAUGAGGGCAAAACCAGUAACCACUCUGGAUGGGACAACAUCUUGCUAGAAACAAACGUUAUGUGGUGGAGGGGAGGAAGGCUCUUGGCCGGUUUUCGAGGCCAUGGUGGUCAAAAUUGCUGAGAGGGAGGCAACACUCGAAAGCUACAUCAAGGACACCGGAGGAAGGACCAGAAGACCUGAGACCAAGACGACCCAAGCCCAACCCGUAGUAUGCUUCACUGACAAAUGUUGAUGUUGAUGCUUCAUCAUCACAUAGACCAAAGGUUUCAGAGAAGGCUGGUAGAUCUCUCUAUGAGUGUGAGCUGUGGGAGAUAACCCAGAACUGACAACCACCUAAAGAAGAGGUGGCGAUAAUGGCUCUCCAAGAGGAGGUUGUGAGUCUGAAGGCUUUUAUUCAACAAGGAGGCACUUAGAGGGAAUUCCUGGACCCUGAGAGGACUAAGACGAUAAUUGAGGCCACCCUGAAGCAGUUCCCAGGCCAGACACUCACUCCAGAUUGCUGGGCCAGGCAAUACAUGACAAAGUGACAGAACUGAGGUUCCAUAACAAAAACAAAGAUUUUCAAUAAAAUAGAAUAAAAGAUAACAGAAGUGUUGUGUGUUUCUUCCUCUUUAUACUGAUACUAUGGUUGAUUUUAAGUAAACACAAUAGUGAAAUAUUUAUUGAUCAAUGCGGAAAAUAUCAAACCAUAGUAGAAUAUGAA
Long non-coding RNA from Alosa sapidissima (American shad), 730 nucleotides. RefSeq lists it as uncharacterized. NCBI's taxonomy places the organism in Eukaryota, Metazoa, Chordata, Actinopteri, Clupeiformes, Clupeidae. The transcript is spliced from 5 exons. The record is from RefSeq and is a predicted model, not a curated record.